Echinops telfairi (small Madagascar hedgehog) is the source of this 277-nucleotide long non-coding RNA. RefSeq lists it as uncharacterized. The record is from RefSeq and is a predicted model, not a curated record. The transcript has 3 exons. Lineage: Eukaryota; Metazoa; Chordata; Mammalia; Afrosoricida; Tenrecidae.
GUAGCAGCAAAAGUACAACCCCCUUCUGGAUACAACAGUGAAGUAACGAAGAAACAGAGAAGCACACUGCUGCUGAGCCAUUACAACACCGUGGAACAAAGCGUAACUCUGCCCCACUCAGCUUUGAAGGCUGCACUGUUACAGAGAUCAUCUGCUGUGUCUUUUUCUGGACAGAAGCUGGAGAGACCAGUCCCUGAGGCAGGCCAUCGUGCUUGGUAAAGUGGAGGGCAGCACAGAAGAGGAAGUACUGCCCCACAGCUGCGGCAAUGGAGCCCAA